GAUGAAGAACGCAGCGAAAUGCGAUAAGUAAUGUGAAUUGCAGAAUUCAGUGAAUCAUCGAAUCUUUGAACGCACAUUGCGCCCGCCAGUAUUCUGGCGGGCAUGCCUGUUCGAGCGUCAUUUCAACCAUCAAGCCCCCGGCUUGUGUUGGGGACCUGCGGCUGCCGCAGGCCCUGAAAACCAGUGGCGGGCUCGCUAGUCACUCCGAGCGUAGUAAUAUAUCUCGCUCAGGGCGUGCUGCGGGUUCCGGCCGUUAAAAAGCCUUAUUUACCCAAGGUUGACCUCGGAUCAGGUAGGAAGACCCGCUGAACUUAAGCAUAUCAAUAAGCGGAGGA
RNAcentral lists this unclassified non-coding RNA (335 nucleotides) under soil metagenome. RNAcentral's name for it is "partial contains 5.8S ribosomal RNA, internal transcribed spacer 2, and large subunit ribosomal RNA". The stretch from base 1 to 120 matches the Rfam family "5.8S ribosomal RNA", at positions 35 to 154 of the family's 154-position model. The record is from RNAcentral.